RNAcentral lists this ribosomal RNA (447 nucleotides) under uncultured bacterium. RNAcentral's name for it is "bacterial SSU rRNA". It matches the Rfam family "Bacterial small subunit ribosomal RNA", at positions 28 to 457 of the family's 1533-position model. The record is from RNAcentral.
GAUGAACGCUGGCGGCGUGCUUAACACAUGCAAGUCGAGCGAAGCACUUAAGUCUGAUUCUUCGGAUGAAGACUUUUGUGACUGAGCGGCGGACGGGUGAGUAACGCGUGGGUAACCUGCCUCAUACAGGGGGAUAACAGUUAGAAAUGACUGCUAAUACCGCAUAAGACCACGGUACCGCAUGGUACAGUGGUAAAAACUCCGGUGGUAUGAGAUGGACCCGCGUCUGAUUAGGUAGUUGGUGGGGUAACGGCCUACCAAGCCGACGAUCAGUAGCCGACCUGAGAGGGUGACCGGCCACAUUGGGACUGAGACACGGCCCAGACUCCUACGGGAGGCAGCAGUGGGGAAUAUUGCACAAUGGAGGAAACUCUGAUGCAGCGACGCCGCGUGAAGGAUGAAGUAUUUCGGUAUGUAAACUUCUAUCAGCAGGGAAGAAAAUGACGG